GGUUGCGGCCUGUUUGGCGUGUAUGUACUGUACAUAUAGAAUCUCGAACAACCCUAAAAAUCCUAGGGAUUCCCUCCUGUGGCUGUGUGUGCUGUGUGGCGGCGCGGCCGGCCUCCGAACUCGCUCGCGCGGCGCCUCCCCCGGUCCCCCCUACGCCCUGCAGCGCAAGAAGAUCGAGUUUGGACAAGGAGGAAGGAUUGACACAUUUUUCUGCCGCUUGGAGGAGAGAAACAAGGGGACAGUGACCCGAGGUGAUCUGAGUAUUUUCAACAAGCAAUGGAUCAGGGCCAAGCAAUGCAGGCGGAUCAUGAUGGUUUGUCAGCCAUCGUGGAGGCUUCUGAAACCCAUGUAAACCACCUGUACAUGAACCGGGGUACUUCCAUUGACUUGUAUAAGUUCCGCAAGUACAGUAACCAACAAGGAUGGAAACAUGGGCACAUCUUUCAUGGAAGCAAUAGGGAAGAUCUUUCCUUCGAGGGGGGAAUGAUACAAGGUAUCAAGGCUCGAGAUAACACUAAUUCAAGGGAAGCUAUGUUUCUAGUCGAGGCAGCAAAUCAGUGGGUGAGUGUAGAGGAUACGAUGGUGAGAAGUUCAACAACGCUGAAUCAUAUUGGAAUUCUAAAACCCUUUGUUGGAGGCUUCAAUACCCAGAUAUCUGAAGUCGUCUGCGGAUUUACUUCGAUUAUUAAUUCUUCUCUGACCGGUUGGUUAACGAGCAAACAACCAUCAGACAAAAGGACAUCUAUCCCUGUUGAAGUGCAGCAGUUGAUCAGUUACUAAGGGCCAAGACAGCAUCAUAGUUUGUGUGUGUGAUAUUUAUGUGAUGACUGCAGCAUCUUUGUGUACCGCACACAAGACUGCGUACCUGGCCAUUGAGAAGAUUUGGAGUGCAGGGUCUACAUCGGUUGAAUUGGCCAAUCCUGCGAGCUAGCAUAUGAUUGAUGAUAGAAUAAAAAUCGACCCAUUGCGCACUCGUACGAGGCUGGCGGGAGAAAACAACAUGAGGCCACUUCGGGUUGCGUUUGGCGAGAUGAUAAAGAACGCGAUUCACAGCAGAUGGGAGGAUGAUGAGUUGCUAGAUUUUAUUGAUCUUCUCGGGUAUCAAACAGUAGGAGUUGGAGAUGUCUUGGGCCACCCUGUCCUCCUUUCGCCUCAUAGGCGGCAGCUCAUGUACCACAAAUUCCAUUCAGAGAUACCUACCGAUAAUCAAAGAAAUUGGCUGCGAGCAAAUGCUGACCCUGGAGCUAACUGGAAACAAGUUGCUUCAAACUUUGACCCAACGUUAAAGAGCAUAAUUGCCUAUCAAGUACGACAAGUUAUGAGGCCGAGUAUUAUGAGUUCCAGUGAUGAUGAUUUGGUGCAGCACCCUAGCGGCUUCUCACAAAAUGUAUUCGGAGCUUUACAUUUCUCAAGUGUGGUAACGGCGCAUUACCACCAGCAUUUCAAGAGAUUUACACAGGGCAACUGGAGAGAGGAAAUUAUCGGCCGAGUCGAUUUGCAGCUCAAGACAGUGUUACCCCGUCUGCUCACAAAGCGUUACAACGCGAAGUUCAUCCGCUGAUGAUUAGUGGAUGUAUUUGCGUGUUCAUUUGUUGUGUCGAGUUAUGUUUGGAUCUCUCUCCUAGCUUUGUUGGGUACUACUGAAUUGUGUUUGCAUCUCUCCCGUACCACUGGAUUUGUUUAAACUAUGUUUCUUUGUAUCUCUCCCCUUGUUGGAGUACUAAAUUUGACUUUUAACUAAAUUAACUAGACAUCGUUUCUGUCCA
Non-coding RNA from Triticum urartu, 1766 nucleotides. The record is from RefSeq and is a predicted model, not a curated record. Lineage: Eukaryota; Viridiplantae; Streptophyta; Magnoliopsida; Poales; Poaceae.